UACGAAGGGUGCAAACGUUGCUCGGAAUUAUUGGGCGUAAAGCGCACGUAGGCGGCUCGGCAAGUCGGAUGUGAAAUCCCUCGGCUCAACCAAGGAAGUGCAUCCGAAACUGCGGAGCUUGAGUACUUAAGGGGAUCGCGGAAUUCCCGGUGUAGAGGUGAAAUUCGUAGAUAUCGGGAGGAACACCAGUGGCGAAGGCGGCUCACUGGCCCGAUACUGACGCUGAGGUGCGAAAGCGUGGGGAGCAAACAGG
RNAcentral lists this ribosomal RNA (253 nucleotides) under uncultured bacterium. Its description in RNAcentral is "partial 16S ribosomal RNA". It matches the Rfam family "Bacterial small subunit ribosomal RNA", at positions 524 to 776 of the family's 1533-position model. The record is from RNAcentral.